Molecule: long non-coding RNA, 2623 nt
Organism: Tachysurus fulvidraco (yellow catfish)
Lineage: Eukaryota; Metazoa; Chordata; Actinopteri; Siluriformes; Bagridae
Exons: 5
Source: RefSeq, a predicted model, not a curated record
CAGCGGCUUUAGCUACCCUAAUGCUCCCAAAUCCCGUUGUGUAAACUGCACCAUCAAAAUAAGCACAACAACAAAACAGUGCAGCUGUUCAAUUUUAACAAGGCCCACAUGGCUAUAAACACCAAGCCAACUGAACUGUAAAAGAACAAUUUUCCAUCCUUUUUUUUUUUUCUCUCUUUUUAAAAAAAAAAAUAAAAAAACAUGCAGCACGAGAGAGAACAAAUUUGGUCUUUAAAAAUCAAGGACCGGAACACAGCGACUUGUAAAAUAUCGUAUCACAAAAAUGUAGCCCAACUCACUGUUCUGACUCAAUUGCUUUUGGCUGUAUUAUAGCCAAUGUAUUCACAUUUCUGUGCGUAUAGGAGAAAAAAAAAAGCAGUAUUUUUCCAUAAAAAUGUCAUAGCUCUUAAAAGGAACUAUCUAUUUCUAAAUGCAUGAAAGGUUGGUAUAAAAGACUAGCUAUACAAAACAAAGGAAGAGCCUCGCACGGACGAAGCUGAUUAGAAGAUAUUAAAAUACUUAAAAUUUUACUGUCAUACCAUUUCAAUAUUGAUUCUCGUGAUCCAAUACCAUAAUCCACCCUUGAUUAUGAACCGAAAUGAACUUUGGAUUGAUUUGCAGGGACGCUUUCUUGUACAGGGACAAGUGGACCAGAAUCACGGCAGCAAAAUUCCAAACCGUCUUCUUUCUAUAAUCUCCAGCUCAUGUAGUACCAACCUGGAGGUGUAUGAAUACAAACGUGAACGGUGAAUUGAAAUAAAACGACUCAAACGACCCCCUUCUGUGUGUGGAAGGGUAUUUAGGCCUUCUCGUACGAUAAGCCUCUAAACUAUACUGUAGCUCUCUCUUUCUUCUUCAAAGCAAAGGAUGAGUAUUAACCAGCCAUCAAAACAGAGAUUCCGCUUGACAAACCUGCCCCUCUAACCCCCUGUAGCCAUGUGCUCAGGACCACUGACUGAGGUCUUGAUUUGGUCCUGUUGCUCUCCCUCGAUUCACAUCAAAACAAUCCACGACAACAGAUCUCUAGGUCAGUUUGCCGACUGCACACGCGGGUCAGUGGAGGAUGGUGGCUAAAGGACACUGCGCUCAACCAUUAUCCACACAGAACAACAGAACGUAAUUCUCUGAUUUUAUUGCAGUCCAUAAUAUGUUCAUUCAUUCCGAGCCUAGUCACAAAGCUUAACGACAGUGGCGUCCGCAAAUCUGUUAGUUUUCUCUCUAGACACUGAUGUUUCUUUGCGUAUACGUGAGUCUACGUAACUCCCGCAUUGAGAUGGCAGUCGUAGUUCAGAGGUCAGUAGUGUGGCAUAUUGUUGCGUUGGACUAGGAUUUUAUCAAAAGCACCAAGAAAACCAAAAAGCUCACUGUGGACCACAGGAAAUUGUGAAGAAACAUCUCUACAGUACAUCCUGAAGAGAAUAAAAACAUAUGAGACCUGCAAAGGAGAGCUUGGAGCAACCCCGAUACCCCCACCCCCAGCCAUGGGCUGUUCCUUUCUACCAUCAGCAUAUUGCCCUGGAUGCUAAUGAAUGCGACAGCAAACCCAAGGUGAUUCGGAGUAACGAGGCGAAGUCGUGAUCAAAGAGCAUACAAUCAAGUGCUAAAACUGCGGAUCCAGAAUUCCACACAUACUCAAGGAAAGUGAUUAUAUACAUAUUAUAGACACUGAUUAUAUCCUUAGUCUGUUUAUUUGGAACGAAUGUGUACUGUUUCAAAGUCAAGCCAGUUUGGUGUUAAGGUAACAAUGAGGGAAUGGGUAAGAGUUUUGGAAAGGUUUUAUUGAUAUUGAAGUAAACAUAUGAUGAUAAGCAGGUGUGAUGCAGGCUGAGCUCUUGGCCAUCAUCUUCAUCCAUGUCUCCUCAUUUGGGUAACCUUAUCCUUAACCGGUCCUUUUUGUCGCUCAUGUGUUUAGGUCUUGAUUCUAUCUUCACUGCUCAUAUUCUGAGCACGGAUUUUCCUUUGAUGACCGUAUCUGCCUGUGCUUUGACCCCAUAACCUCACCCCACCCCACCCACUGUGAAUUCCUGAAACCCGGCUGCUUAAAAGCUGCAUUUACAUUUUACUACAUCUGCUUCUGAAGUGCUACACGGGGACCUUUUUCCUCAAAGCGCUGCCCUCACUUACCACAUCACCAAGCAUCUAUAUGGUUGCCUGUGACCCUGUGGAAGCGGAACAGAUCAUAGAUGGAUGGUUGCAAUAUUGUUAGACUUCUGCAGAGUGGAUAUGGAGGAAUUCAUAUAUAAAAAGCGUUGGCAACAUGAGCGUGUUGACACUGGCCCAAUUAUCCCGGCCUCCUAUUGUCACAGAGACAGGCACGUCAGAGCGCGAUGGCACCCAACCAUGCCAGUCUCGCUGUGAGGAACACGAUAUCAGAGCCAGAAUCGGGAGCUACAAGAUGGCACCGAUGCCCGUGGUGCCUGAUGGUCAAACAGACCAGUGGCAACUGGCGCUGAUGCUGCUGCACAUUUCUUACUGAAAACAGCUAAAUGAUCCUGUUACUGCUGUGUUAUAAUCCUGUUAUAUUCUGGACACCAUUAAUAUAUCUUGCCUACUGUUGGAUAUUGCUGGAGUGUGUGUGUACUUUCAUCUGAUUAUGAUACAGAAGAAAUGUCCACAUAAUUUA